This 95-nucleotide transfer RNA is filed under the name Enterobacter huaxiensis. Its description in RNAcentral is "tRNA-Pro". Lineage: Bacteria; Pseudomonadati; Pseudomonadota; Gammaproteobacteria; Enterobacterales; Enterobacteriaceae. The record is from RNAcentral.
CGGAGUAGUAAAUCGAGGAUACGAGUUCUAUUCCAAUAUUCAUCACUGACAUGGGGUGUCGGGGGUCGGAGGUUCAAAUCCUCUCGUGCCGACCA